UGGUGGACCAUCCGUGACUUACUGCCCAAA
This 30-nucleotide non-coding RNA is filed under the name Rattus norvegicus (Norway rat). Lineage: Eukaryota; Metazoa; Chordata; Mammalia; Rodentia; Muridae. The record is from RNAcentral.